This 352-nucleotide unclassified non-coding RNA is filed under the name soil metagenome. RNAcentral's name for it is "partial contains 5.8S ribosomal RNA, internal transcribed spacer 2, and large subunit ribosomal RNA". The stretch from base 1 to 120 matches the Rfam family "5.8S ribosomal RNA", at positions 35 to 154 of the family's 154-position model. The record is from RNAcentral.
GAUGAAGAACGUAGCGAAAUGCGAUAACUAGUGUGAAUUGCAGAAUUCCGUGAAUCAUCGAGUCUUUGAACGCACAUUGCGCCCCCUGGUAUUCCGGGGGUCAUGCCUGUCCGAGCGUCAUUGCUGCCCAUCAAGCACGGCUUGUGUGUUGGGUCGUCGUCCCCCCCUCCGGGGGGGACGGGCCCUAAAGGCAGCGGCGGCACCGCGUCCGAUCCUCGAGCGUAUGGGGCUUUGUCACCCGCUCUGUAGGCCCGGCCGGCGCUUGCCGAACGCAAAACAACCAUUCUUUCCAGGUUGACCUCGGAUCAGGUAGGGAUACCCGCUGAACUUAAGCAUAUCAAUAAGCGGAGGA